UCCACCUUGAAUGCCUUGAAAAAUCGUUGUGAAUCAUCGGGAUUUCUUGGGGUUUUUUCCAUGGGUUGCCACUAGGGAAGAGAUCGCUGGAGAUCUCCUAUGGCUCCACCGAACCACUGUAACUUCUUCCCCUUUCCUCCUUUUCUUUCUUUCUCCCAGUCAUCCUCUCGCAUCAAUGCUCGGAUUGGAGCCGGCGGAUGCCGGAUUUACCUUUAAACAAGGCAGCCCCCAUUUUGUUCUUGGUUUCACCUAUCACCGCCAACAACAGCUGCCAUUGGAGGCCGUCAUCAAGGCUGUGGCUUCGCCACAGUUGAGAGCCACCAUGGAUGGCUGGCCUCGGCCUUCCAUGGCCAUGCAUGGGAGAGGGACAACAGGGAGCAAACCUCCUAUUUGAAGAGAAGAGAAGAGAGGGCUCUUAUCUCUCUUCUUUGGUUUGUUUUAAUAAAAUAAUUCUCUUUAUUAGUUCGCCAAUUAAUUAUUUUCCUUUAGAUGGAUUAUGGAAAAUUCUAGAAGGAAGAUUUUGAGAC
Molecule: long non-coding RNA, 527 nt
Filed under: Elaeis guineensis (African oil palm)
Lineage: Eukaryota; Viridiplantae; Streptophyta; Magnoliopsida; Arecales; Arecaceae
Description: long non-coding RNA (EGUI_LNC077492)
Source: RNAcentral